CCUACGGGCGGCAGCAGUGGGGAAUAUUGCACAAUGGGGGAAACCCUGAUGCAGCGACGCCGCGUGAGUGAAGAAGUACUUCGUUAUGUAAAGCUCUAUCAGCAGGGAAGCAAAUGACGGUACCUGAGUAAGAAGCCCCGGCUAACCACGUGCCAGCAGCCGCGGUAAUACGUAGGGGGCAAGCGUUCUCCGGAUUUACUGGGUGUAAAGGGAGCGUAGACGGCAGUGCAAGUCUGGAGUGAAAGGCGGGGGCUCAACCCCCGGACUGCUCUGGAAACUGUACGGCUGGAGUGCGGGAGAGGUAAGUGGAAUUCCUGGUGUAGCAGUGAAAUGCGUAGAUAUUAGGAGGAACACCAGUGGCGAAGGCGGCUUACUGGACUGUAACUGACGUUGAGGCGCGAAAGCGUGGGGAGCAAACAGGAUUAGAUACCCCGGUAGUC
RNAcentral lists this ribosomal RNA (440 nucleotides) under uncultured bacterium. Its description in RNAcentral is "partial 16S ribosomal RNA". It matches the Rfam family "Bacterial small subunit ribosomal RNA", at positions 338 to 795 of the family's 1533-position model. The record is from RNAcentral.